RNAcentral lists this ribosomal RNA (274 nucleotides) under uncultured bacterium. Its description in RNAcentral is "partial 16S ribosomal RNA". It matches the Rfam family "Bacterial small subunit ribosomal RNA", at positions 523 to 796 of the family's 1533-position model. The record is from RNAcentral.
AUACGGGGGGUGCAAGCGUUACUCGGAAUUACUGGGCGUAAAGCGCGCGCAGGCGGCUUGAUAAGUUGGAUGUGAAAGCCUACGGCUCAACCGUAGAACUGCAUCCAAAACUGUCAGGCUAGAGUGUGGGAGAGGAAGAUGGAAUUAGUUGUGUAGGGGUAAAAUCCGUAGAGAUAACUAGGAAUACCAAAAGCGAAGGCAAUCUUCUGGAACACUACUGACGCUGAGGCGCGAAGGCGUGGGGAGCAAACAGGAUUAGAAACCCCGGUAGUCC